ACAAAACAUAUUUAUGCAUUCUAUUCACUGUGCCGUCUUUAAAUUUGUUAGAUGAACAGAGGGGAAAAGAAGAGCUAGAAGAAUCUUAAUGAGCGUCCUCAUACUGUCUAUGGCAAAUCAUCGGUCUUUUUAUUUCUUUAAAUAAGGAGAAUCUUUAUGGCUUUAGUCGGUAGCUGCGCAAGUUAUACAUCU
This 192-nucleotide small nucleolar RNA is filed under the name Naumovozyma dairenensis CBS 421. RNAcentral's name for it is "Small nucleolar RNA snR8". It matches the Rfam family "Small nucleolar RNA snR8". The record is from Rfam by way of RNAcentral. Lineage: Eukaryota; Fungi; Ascomycota; Saccharomycetes; Saccharomycetales; Saccharomycetaceae.